AACCCAUGGUGAGAGCACCUUCUCAAUAAAUCCUUAUACCUCUCCCAUGUAUCAUAUAACAUCUCUAAAUUGAUUUGUACAAAGGAAGACAUAUCGUUCCUCAACUU
This is a small nucleolar RNA of Gossypium arboreum, 107 nucleotides long. It matches the Rfam family "Plant small nucleolar RNA R71". From Rfam's summary of the family: R71 is a member of the C/D box family of snoRNAs containing the C (UGAUGA) and D (CUGA) box motifs. Multiple nearly identical copies of this snoRNA have been identified in Arabidopsis, and it is thought to function as a 2'-O-ribose methylation guide for 18S ribosomal RNA. The record is from Rfam. NCBI's taxonomy places the organism in Eukaryota, Viridiplantae, Streptophyta, Magnoliopsida, Malvales, Malvaceae.